CAGGCUUAACACAUGCAAGUCGAGGGGCAGCAUGGUCUUAGCUUGCUAAGGCCGAUGGCGACCGGCGCACGGGUGAGUAACACGUAUCCAACCUGCCGUCUACUCUUGGACAGCCUUCUGAAAGGAAGAUUAAUACAAGAUGGCAUCAUGAGUCCGCAUGUUCACAUGAUUAAAGGUAUUCCGGUAGACGAUGGGGAUGCGUUCCAUUAGAUAGUAGGCGGGGUAACGGCCCACCUAGUCUUCGAUGGAUAGGGGUUCUGAGAGGAAGGUCCCCCACAUUGGAACUGAGACACGGUCCAAACUCCUACGGGAGGCAGCAGUGAGGAAUAUUGGUCAAUGGGCGAGAGCCUGAACCAGCCAAGUAGCGUGAAGGAUGACUGCCCUAUGGGUUGUAAACUUCUUUUAUAAAGGAAUAAAGUCGGGUAUGUAUACCCGUUUGCAUGUACUUUAUGAAUAAGGAUCGGCUAACUCCGUGCCAGCAGCCGCGGUAAUACGGAGGAUCCGAGCGUUAUCCGGAUUUAUUGGGUUUAAAGGGAGCGUAGAUGGAUGUUUAAGUCAGUUGUGAAAGUUUGCGGCUCAACCGUAAAAUUGCAGUUGAUACUGGAUAUCUUGAGUGCAGUUGAGGCGGGCGGAAUUCGUGGUGUAGCGGUGAAAUGCUUAGAUAUCACGAAGAA
RNAcentral lists this ribosomal RNA (674 nucleotides) under uncultured bacterium. Its description in RNAcentral is "bacterial SSU rRNA". It matches the Rfam family "Bacterial small subunit ribosomal RNA", at positions 43 to 706 of the family's 1533-position model. The record is from RNAcentral.